GGACAUCAAGGUGAUCUGGUUGCCAUACUUGUUUCCCCAUAUGAUCAGCAGUGUGGAUCUACAUGACUUGGCUGGCUAGACUGAUGUCUUCUUUCUACAUCAUCAUUCCAAGUGCACUCCUCCCAAAGUUGUGGACUUGGUGGAAAUGAACAACCAUCCCACCUAGAUGGAUUGUACUAUUCUUUGGCCAGACAAUGCCUUGGCAGAACUGAACCUGCCCAUCAUCCAAUCAUGGAGAAAGAUCUUGAAUAUUCCUUUCCCCUU
Molecule: small RNA, 264 nt
Filed under: Notechis scutatus (mainland tiger snake)
Lineage: Eukaryota; Metazoa; Chordata; Lepidosauria; Squamata; Elapidae
Description: 7SK RNA (ENSNSUG00000002191.1)
Rfam family: 7SK RNA (bases 1-192)
About the family: 7SK was discovered as an abundant small nuclear RNA in the mid-70s but a possible function has only recently been suggested. Two independent studies have found that 7SK RNA binds the CDK9/cyclin T complex (known as elongation factor P-TEFb). P-TEFb activates transcription by phosphorylating the C-terminal domain of RNA polymerase II.
Source: RNAcentral